CCCUUUCUCAUUGAAUUAGUAGUCCUUUUGAUCGGUUUUGAUAAAUCCAACAACAUACCAAAAAUGAAACCGAUUACAAGUCCCGGAAGGAAGUUUUCCGGCUGAAAGCUCCGGCCCAACCAUCCCCUAUCUUGUUUCUGUAGCCAAAAACAAUCCACAAGAAAGCAGUGAGUGCUUCUAGUGAAUUAAAAAGAGCAAAAACAAGAUUAUAAUAAAGAAAUUUUCAAGGGAUACGAAGGGUUUAAGCGUUAAGGGGUAUAGAGAUAGAUUAGAAAGAUACAGUUCUUGAGAGCUGCGAUUGUUUCCGGAAUGAGCCCAUCAUUUGGAGAUGUCGUUCUUUCUCGGAGGGUUCGAGGGGUCUAAAGGAUAUGAG
Molecule: long non-coding RNA, 373 nt
Filed under: Lactuca sativa (garden lettuce)
Lineage: Eukaryota; Viridiplantae; Streptophyta; Magnoliopsida; Asterales; Asteraceae
Description: long non-coding RNA (LSAT_LNC005079)
Source: RNAcentral